GAUGAAGAACGCAGCAAAAUGCGAUAAGUAAUGUGAAUUGCAGAAUUCAGUGAAUCAUCGAAUCUUUGAACGCACAUUGCGCCCGCCAGUAUUCUGGCGGGCAUGCCUGUUCGAGCGUCAUUUCAACCCUCAAGCACAGCUUGGUGUUGGGACUCGCGUUAAUUCGCGUUCCCCAAAUUGAUUGGCGGUCACGUCGAGCUUCCAUAGCGUAGUAGUAAAACCCUCGUUACUGGUAAUCGUCGCGGCCACGCCGUUAAACCCCAACUUCUGAAUGUUGACCUCGGAUCAGGUAGGAAUACCCGCUGAACUUAAGCAUAUCAAUAAGCGGAGGA
This 332-nucleotide unclassified non-coding RNA is filed under the name soil metagenome. RNAcentral describes it as "partial contains 5.8S ribosomal RNA, internal transcribed spacer 2, and large subunit ribosomal RNA". The stretch from base 1 to 120 matches the Rfam family "5.8S ribosomal RNA", at positions 35 to 154 of the family's 154-position model. The record is from RNAcentral.